This 452-nucleotide ribosomal RNA is filed under the name uncultured bacterium. RNAcentral describes it as "bacterial SSU rRNA". It matches the Rfam family "Bacterial small subunit ribosomal RNA", at positions 340 to 786 of the family's 1533-position model. The record is from RNAcentral.
UACGGGAGGCAGCAGUGGGGAAUAUUGCACAAUGGGCGAAAGCCUGAUGCAGCUAUGCCGCGUGUAUGAAGAAGGCCUUAGGGUUGUAAAGUACUUUCAUCGGGGAGGAAAAACAAAACUAAUAAUUUUAUUUCUUGACGUUACCCGAAAAAGAAGCACCGGCUAACUCCGUGCCAGCAGCCGCGGUAAUACGGAGGGUGCUAGCGUUAAUCAGAAUUACUGGGCGUAAAGAGCACGUAGGUGGUUUUUUAAGUCAGAUGUGAAAUCCCUGGGCUUAACCUAGGAACUGCAUUUGAAACUGAAAUACUAGAGUAUCGUAGAGGGAGGUAGAAUUCUAGGUGUAGCGGUGAAAUGCGUAGAUAUCUGGAGGAAUACCUGUGGCGAAAGCGGCCUCCUAAACGAAUACUGACACUGAGGUGCGAAAGCGUGGGGAGCAAACAGGAUUAGAUACC